RNAcentral lists this ribosomal RNA (473 nucleotides) under uncultured bacterium. Its description in RNAcentral is "bacterial SSU rRNA". It matches the Rfam family "Bacterial small subunit ribosomal RNA", at positions 355 to 825 of the family's 1533-position model. The record is from RNAcentral.
UGGGGAAUAUUGCGCAAUGGGCGAAAGCCUGACGCAGCAACGCCGCGUGAGUGAUGAAGGCCUUCGGGUCGUAAAGCUCUGUCGGAGGGAACGAAUGCUCUUGAGGUUAACAGCCUCGGGAGGUGACGGUACCCUCAAAGGAAGCACCGGCUAACUCUGUGCCAGCAGCCGCGGUAAUACAGAGGGUGCAAGCGUUGUUCGGAAUCAUUGGGCGUAAAGCGCGUGUAGGCGGCUUGAUAAGUCUGGUGUGAAAGCCCGGGGCUCACCCCCGGAAGUGCACUGGAUACUGUCGAGCUCGAGUCCCGGAGAGGAGAGUGGAAUUCCUGGUGUAGCGGUGAAAUGCGUAGAUAUCAGGAGGAACACCGGUGGCGAAGGCGGCUCUCUGGACGGUGACUGACGCUGAGACGCGAAAGCGUGGGGAGCAAACAGGAUUAGAUACCCAAGUAGUCCCUGAGCGGGCUGGCAAGGCGCAU